Ornithorhynchus anatinus (platypus) is the source of this 138-nucleotide small nucleolar RNA. Lineage: Eukaryota; Metazoa; Chordata; Mammalia; Monotremata; Ornithorhynchidae. The record is from RefSeq and is a predicted model, not a curated record.
CGCCUCUCAGGGUCGCAACUGGAGAGUUCCCAGUACUCUACCAGUCAUGACUACAGGCGGGAGAGUCAAGCAGAGGCAUACCCACUCCAUUCCUAGCUUGUCCAGUGGCUAGUGAGUGGAAGGCAAUCAGCUACAAGU